GUGAAUCAUCAAAUCUUUGAACGCAAAUUGCACUCUCUGGGAUGCCGGAGAGUAUGCCUGUUUGAGGCUCAGUUUAAAUAAAAAUCGGGGUGUUUGCUGCCUUUCGUGGUGACGCACCGGAUUUGGGUCGUCUUGCUUUCGGUUAAGUGACCUAAAUUUUUUCAUGAUUUUUUCGAACGUAUUUAAAUGAUUUUACUUACGUUUUCGAGAUCGAAUACUAUGUGUGGUCAUCCUCAUGAUUCGCGCCUAUAAUUUUUCAUCAAAAUAACCUCAAAUCAGGUAAGAGUACCCGC
RNAcentral lists this unclassified non-coding RNA (293 nucleotides) under Glomeraceae sp. RNAcentral describes it as "partial contains 5.8S ribosomal RNA and internal transcribed spacer 2". The stretch from base 1 to 71 matches the Rfam family "5.8S ribosomal RNA", at positions 84 to 154 of the family's 154-position model. The record is from RNAcentral. Lineage: Eukaryota; Fungi; Glomeromycota; Glomeromycetes; Glomerales; Glomeraceae.